Molecule: unclassified non-coding RNA, 290 nt
Filed under: Hevea brasiliensis (rubber tree)
Lineage: Eukaryota; Viridiplantae; Streptophyta; Magnoliopsida; Malpighiales; Euphorbiaceae
Source: RNAcentral
GCAUCUCAAUAAAAAUAUAAAUGCCUUGCUGUUUCAGUCCUCUCAUCAACAUGGUACUAUUAUUCAUAUUUCCUAAGGAUAAAACCUCUCCAACAAUUUCGUUACUUGCCUCACUAAGAUGCAAAACCCCAAAAUAGAUCAUUACAUGAAUAAACAACCAAAGUGCUAAUGCGUUGAAACGGUAACUACUAUCAUACUCCAUACAGUCCAGUUGAUGAGCCAUCUCAUCACAAAUAGUGUUUGAAAGAAGGCCACAAUUUUUAGUUAUACAAUUGGAACUUCAAAUCAGG